RNAcentral lists this long non-coding RNA (1441 nucleotides) under Mus caroli (Ryukyu mouse). RNAcentral describes it as "RIKEN cDNA 4930408K08 gene (MGP_CAROLIEiJ_G0005707.1)". The record is from RNAcentral. Lineage: Eukaryota; Metazoa; Chordata; Mammalia; Rodentia; Muridae.
GAGAACUGGGAAAGCACUGCCAGGAGGGAACCUGGCACCGUGUGCCAUGUAUGCUCCAGGCCUCUCUCACCAUAAGCUUGGUAUGGGGGCACCUGAGACUAUGACCCUCUAGACCUUAGAAGCAUCCUCGGAAGAGUGUGUGAAUAUCAAGUCCUAUGAAGUGCAGCUAAGGGGAGCACAUUUCUCAGGAAGUGCAGCUGGGCCUCCUGAAUCUCCUCACAUCAUUUCCAAGAAGCUUCCUGGAGCCUCUCUCAAAGAUGCAGUCUCAGGGGCAGGCGUAUCUCUGACUUCAGGAUAACCUUGUCUACAGAGCUGGUUCCAGGACGCCAGGGCUACACAGAAAAACCUUCAGGGGUUGGGGAGUGCACGCAUUACCACCACCACCUGCCUACUGAACCUCCGGAUAUCACAAAACUCAAUACAUACUCAAAAUGCUUUGAUUUCUUGACCCAGGUCUUGCCUACAAGCUGCUGGCCAUGCUCUUCGUCCUGAGACAUCUCCUGCGCCUUCUGGGACAUUAUGAGCUUCUGACUCUCCUCUUUCUCUCUCCUACACCCCCGGCUCCUUUGUGAGCCCAAGAUAUUCUAAACAUGAGGCCUUGAAAAUUUGCCAUAGAUACACUUAAGGACAGAAAGAUAGCUCAGUAAAUAUUGCAGUGAAGUUUUGUACCCUCUGAUCAGGUUCUUUGAAAGCUAGCAGCAGAGUAUAAUAGCCCCAGUUGUUUUUAAAGCUUUAUCUUUUUAUAUGUAAGUGUCUGUGUAAAUUUAGUGUGUGUGUGUGUGUGUGUGUGUGCGCGCGCGCGUGCCAGCACAUGCCAGAAAAUAGUGUGGAAUCUCCUGGAAUUGGAGUUACCAGAAGUUGUGGACUUGAGAGCAGACCUCUGAUAACUGGAAGAGCAACAACAGCUCUUAAUAACAGUUGAAAGAUUUUCCAACCCCUGACACUUGGGGGAGGGGGAAGUGUGUGACACGUGUUUUUAAAUGAAUUAUGUUUUCUUGUUCAAGCCUAAAUCUUACGUCAUGAAGCUCAUUUAUUUCUUAAAAUAGCACUGCUUUACAUGUGUUUUCUUAUGUUAUUUAUACGUGUUAUACCACAUGUUUUUUCUCAGUGCUAAAAUAUAAUAUAAAUAACAUAACAUUGAAUCAGCUCUCAUAAACAGUCAACAUCUAAUAUACUCUAGAGUGAAAUGCAUCCUAAGUGCUAUAAUAAAUAUGUAGUCAAAAAUGUCAUAAAAUAUGUAUUUGUAUUAUAUCAUUGGAUAAAUUCAUAAGUCAACAAUAAAACAAAGCUACUAAAACAACUUUCAAAAAUGUAAGUGCUGGGCAUUUAUAAUUAUUAAAGACCAUUUUUUUCUUUAAAAGAUAAUUGUAAGACAUAAACAGCAUAUUGUGUAGUUUAUAACAUGUCAGAACUAAAUGUAUGGCAAUAAUAAAAAAGUUGU